AACGCACCUUGCGCUCCUUGGUAUUCCGAGGAGCAUGCCUGUUUGAGUGUCAUUAAAUUCUCAACCCCAGCGGUUCGUUGGGGCUUGGACUUGGAGCGUGCUGGCGAAGGUCGGCUCCUCUUUAAAUGCAUCAGCGGAAAACGGAACUUUCCCUUCGGCGUGAUAAUAUCGUUGCGUCGUGGUGGGUCGGUUAAAGAGUCCCGCUUACAAUCGUCCUCGGACAAAAAUAAAAAACAUCUGUUUUGACCUCAGAUCAGGUAGGACUACCCGCUGAACUUAA
This 280-nucleotide unclassified non-coding RNA is filed under the name Mortierella sp. RNAcentral's name for it is "partial contains 5.8S ribosomal RNA, internal transcribed spacer 2, and large subunit ribosomal RNA". The stretch from base 1 to 52 matches the Rfam family "5.8S ribosomal RNA", at positions 103 to 154 of the family's 154-position model. The record is from RNAcentral. Lineage: Eukaryota; Fungi; Mortierellomycota; Mortierellomycetes; Mortierellales; Mortierellaceae.